UGUGUUUUGCGCCUUCCUGUUAACUUUAAUAAUAAUGAUUAAUAAAUGUAAUCAGAUCAGAUCAUGUAAUUAUACAUUUAAACCAACAAGGACAAACAUAUUCGGUCUACAAUUAAAACGGACACGUUUAUUCACCCGACAAGCACAACAACGUGGUGUGAGUUAGUUAUCCACUCGGUGGUGACGUUUCAUUCAGAAGUGACGAUAAGUUAAAGCACCAGAAACAAGAAAUCUGACCGCUGUAAACAUCUGAAUUCAUCUACAGCCCUUCUGAGAGCAGCUACUUACAAACAGCAUGGAGGAACCAUGGAGAGCAUCCUAAGUAGCUGCAUCACUGUCCAGUUUGGGAAUUGCACUUCUUCUGACCGCAAGACUCUCCAGCGAGUAGUGAGGACAGCUGAAAAGGUCUUCGGGGUCUCUCUCCCAUCUCUCAUGGACAUUUUCAACAAACGCUGCGUCCGCAAAGCUCUCAGCAUCGUGGAGGAUCCAUCACAUCCGUCGUGUGGACUUUUUACUCUCCUGACGCCUGGGACAAGCAGGGAAAUGAAGAAGCUUUUGGGCUGCGUUCCUGUCCGCUAAUGGUACUCUGUCCUGAAGAUAAGAGGUGAAGGAUCUUUUGGUAACGCUCAUAUUGUGACGUGGUUUCUGCAAGUACAGUGACGGUGUAGGUUGUUUAUAUCUAGAAGACGUGAUUUGUAUUUUCAAUAAUAAAAUUUCUGUUCAUUGAAAAUGCUUUUGGAAAAAGCAUGUGGGCAAUCCUCUUUAUUGUUGUUGAGUAGAGGUGCUUCAACCACACCGAUUGCUUAAACGUUUAAAUAAUAACCCCUGUGCACAAACCAAGCAAAUGUUAAGGCUGCUGCUAGGUGGCCGCUGUGUGCUGUCAACUCUUCAUUACUUGGCUUUUGCAGUAUUUGGUCAUGAUUGUAAGUCACUUUAGAUAAAAGUGCACACUUGAUGCUAAAAAUGUCACUGUAAAUGGAAAUACGAGGUCUAUAAAGACAUAGAUUGAUACAUUUGGCAUGGAAAAACCUCCACUGGUCUCAGUUGAGAUCCAGGCCUAUUUGCCCAGCAUCAGGGUCUGAUCAUGUCAAUGCUCUUUGGGUGAGCACAAAUUCUUACAGACACACUUGAACAAUUUGUGUGGAGCCUUUCCCAAGGAGUGGAGGUUAUUUUACACACAAGAACAUGGGCAAGAACAUGGUUUUGGAAUGAGAUUUGAAAUCUGGUCCACAUUCUUUUGGCCAUCUUUAUUGGUGUACACUUUUUUUAUGCUGAUGUUUUUAGUGUCUGUUUACAAGCACAAAUAAAGUAUGUGAAUUGAAAUUUUA
Long non-coding RNA from Trichomycterus rosablanca, 1328 nucleotides. RefSeq lists it as uncharacterized. The transcript has 3 exons. The record is from RefSeq and is a predicted model, not a curated record. Lineage: Eukaryota; Metazoa; Chordata; Actinopteri; Siluriformes; Trichomycteridae.